Molecule: ribosomal RNA, 458 nt
Filed under: uncultured bacterium
Lineage: Bacteria
Description: bacterial SSU rRNA
Rfam family: Bacterial small subunit ribosomal RNA
Source: RNAcentral
GAUGAACGCUGGCGGCGUGCCUAAUACAUGCAAGUCGAACGAAAUACCUUCGGGUAUUUAGUGGCGAACGGGUGAGUAAUACGUAGAUAACCUGCCUAUAGGACUGGGAUAACUAUUGGAAACGAUAGCUAAUACCGGAUAGGUAGAACGAGGGCAUCCUUGUUCUAUUAAAGUUGGGAAACAACACAUAUAGAUGGAUCUACGGCGCAUUAGUUAGUUGGUGGGGUAACGGCCUACCAAGACGAUGAUGCGUAGCCGACCUGAGAGGAUGAUCAGCCACACUGGGACUGAGACACGGCCCAGACUCCUACGGGAGGCAGCAGUGGGGAAUAUUGGACAAUGGGCGAAAGCCUGAUCCAGCCAUGCCGCGUGAGUGAUGAAGGCCCUAGGGUUGUAAAGCUCUUUCAGUGGGGAAGAUAAUGACGGUACCCACAGAAGAAGCCCCGGCUAACUUCGUG